AACGCCGCGUGAGUGAAGAAGGUUUUCGGAUCGUAAAACUCUGUUGUAAGGGAAGAACACGUACGAGAGUAACUGCUCGUACCUUGACGGUACCUUAUUAGAAAGCCACGGCUAACUACGUGCCAGCAGCCGCGGUAAUACGUAGGUGGCAAGCGUUGUCCGGAAUUAUUGGGCGUAAAGCGCGCGCAGGCGGUUCUUUAAGUCUGAUGUGAAAGCCCACGGCUCAACCGUGGAGGGUCAUUGGAAACUGGAGAACUUGAGUACAGAAGAGGAAAGCGGAAUUCCACGUGUAGCGGUGAAAUGCGUAGAGAUGUGGAGGAACACCAGUGGCGAAGGCGGCUUUCUGGUCUGUA
This 353-nucleotide ribosomal RNA is filed under the name uncultured bacterium. RNAcentral's name for it is "bacterial SSU rRNA". It matches the Rfam family "Bacterial small subunit ribosomal RNA", at positions 393 to 738 of the family's 1533-position model. The record is from RNAcentral.